AAAAACAUCGCCUCUUGCAAAACUGAGAAAUAAGAGGUCCCGCCUGCCCUGUGACUAUAUGUUUAACGGCCGCGGUAUUUUGACCGUGCGAAGGUAGCGCAAUCACUUGUCUUUUAAAUGGAGACCUGUAUGAAUGGCAUAACGAGGGCUUAGCUGUCUCCUUUUUCAAGUCAAUGAAAUUGAUCUCCCCGUGCAGAAGCGGGGAUAACACCAUAAGACGAGAAGACCCUAUGGAGCUUUAGACACCAAGGCAGAUCAUGUUAAACACCCCUUCACAAAGGACCAAACCAGAUGAACCCUGCCCUAAUGUCUUUGGUUGGGGCGACCGCGGGGAAACAAAAAACCCCCACGUGGAAUGGGAAUACCCCCUCCUACAACUAAGAGCUCCCGCUCUAAUGACCAGAAUUUCUGACCAAUCAGAUCCGGCAACGCCGAUCAACGGACCGAGUUACCCUAGGGAUAACAGCGCAAUCCCCUUUUAGAGCCCAUAUCGACAAGGGGGUUUACGACCUCGAUGUUGGAUCAGGACAUCCUAAUGGUGCAGCCGCUAUUAAGGGUUCGUUUGUUCAACGAUUAAAGUCCUACGUGAUCUGA
RNAcentral lists this ribosomal RNA (594 nucleotides) under Kyphosus sydneyanus (silver drummer). Its description in RNAcentral is "partial 16S ribosomal RNA". It matches the Rfam family "Bacterial large subunit ribosomal RNA", at positions 1809 to 2608 of the family's 2925-position model. Lineage: Eukaryota; Metazoa; Chordata; Actinopteri; Centrarchiformes; Kyphosidae. The record is from RNAcentral.